RNAcentral lists this unclassified non-coding RNA (345 nucleotides) under soil metagenome. Its description in RNAcentral is "partial contains 5.8S ribosomal RNA, internal transcribed spacer 2, and large subunit ribosomal RNA". The stretch from base 1 to 120 matches the Rfam family "5.8S ribosomal RNA", at positions 35 to 154 of the family's 154-position model. The record is from RNAcentral.
GAUGAAGAACGCAGCGAAAUGCGAUACGUAAUGUGAAUUGCAGAAUUCAGUGAAUCAUCGAGUCUUUGAACGCACAUUGCGCCCCCUGGUAUUCCGGGGGGCAUGCCUGUCCGAGCGUCAUUGCUGCCCUCAAGCACGGCUUGUGUGUUGGGCCUCCGUCCUCCUCCCGGUGGACGGGCCCGAAAGGCAGCGGCGGCACUGCGUCCGGUCCUCGAGCGUAUGGGGCUUCGUCACCCGCUCUUGUAGGCCCGGCCGGCGCUUGCCGACACAUCAAUCUUUUUUCCAGGUUGACCUCGGAUCAGGUAGGGAUACCCGCUGAACUUAAGCAUAUCAAUAAGCGGAGGA